UACGUAGGGUGCGAGCGUUGUCCGGAAUUACUGGGCGUAAAGAGCUCGUAGGCGGUGUGUCGCGUCGGCCGUGAAAACCUGCAGCUUAACUGUGGGCGUGCGGUCGAUACGGGCAUCACUGGAGUUCGGCAGGGGAGACUGGAAUUCCUGGUGUAGCGGUGAAAUGCGCAGAUAUCAGGAGGAACACCGGUGGCGAAGGCGGCUUUCUGGACAGUAACUGACGCUGAUGCGCGAAAGCUAGGGGAGCAAACAGG
Molecule: ribosomal RNA, 254 nt
Filed under: uncultured bacterium
Lineage: Bacteria
Description: partial 16S ribosomal RNA
Rfam family: Bacterial small subunit ribosomal RNA
Source: RNAcentral